Molecule: ribosomal RNA, 292 nt
Filed under: Plasmodium falciparum (malaria parasite P. falciparum)
Lineage: Eukaryota; Apicomplexa; Aconoidasida; Haemosporida; Plasmodiidae
Description: partial 18S ribosomal RNA
Rfam family: Eukaryotic small subunit ribosomal RNA
Source: RNAcentral
GCUAUGACGGGUAACGGGGAAUUAGAGUUCGAUUCCGGAGAGGGAGCCUGAGAAAUAGCUACCACAUCUAAGGAAGGCAGGAGGCGCGUAAAUUACCCAAUUCUAAAGAAGAGAGGUAGUGACAAGAAAUAACAAUGCAAGGCCAAUUUUUGGUUUUGUAAUUGGAAUGGUGGGAAUUUAAAACCUUCCCAGAGUAACAAUUGGAGGGCAAGUCUGGUGCCAGCAGCCGCGGUAAUUCCAGCUCCAAUAGCGUAUAUUAAAAUUGUUGCAGUUAAAACGCUCGUAGAUGAAU